Molecule: transfer RNA, 72 nt
Filed under: Camelus bactrianus (Bactrian camel)
Lineage: Eukaryota; Metazoa; Chordata; Mammalia; Artiodactyla; Camelidae
Also listed under: 3 other names
Rfam family: tRNA
About the family: Transfer RNA (tRNA) molecules are approximately 80 nucleotides in length. Their secondary structure includes four short double-helical elements and three loops (D, anti-codon, and T loops).
Source: Rfam by way of RNAcentral
GAGGGUAUAGCUCAGUGGUAGAGUGCAUGCUCAGCAUGCAUGAGGUCCUGGGUUCAAUCCCCAGUACCAUUA